AACGCACAUUGCGCCCCUUGGUAUUCCGGGGGGCAUGCCUGUUCGAGCGUCAUUAUCACCCCUCAAGCUCAGCUUGGUGUUGGGGCCUGCCCGUCAUAGGGCAGCCCCUAAAAUCAGUGGCGGUGCCAUCUGGCUCUACGCGUAGUAAUACUUCUCGCGACGGAGUCCCGGUGGUGUCUUGCCAGAACCCCCCACUUUUUAAUGAUUGACCUCGGAUCAGGUAGGGAUACCCGCUGAACUUAA
This 243-nucleotide unclassified non-coding RNA is filed under the name uncultured fungus. Its description in RNAcentral is "partial contains 5.8S ribosomal RNA, internal transcribed spacer 2, and large subunit ribosomal RNA". The record is from RNAcentral. Lineage: Eukaryota; Fungi.